RNAcentral lists this ribosomal RNA (320 nucleotides) under uncultured bacterium. RNAcentral's name for it is "bacterial SSU rRNA". It matches the Rfam family "Bacterial small subunit ribosomal RNA", at positions 470 to 789 of the family's 1533-position model. The record is from RNAcentral.
UGACGGUACCUGCAGAAAAAGCAACGGCUAACUACGUGCCAGCAGCCGCGGUAAUACGUAGGUGGCAAGCGUUGUCCGGAUUUACUGGGUGUAAAGGGCGCGUAGGCGGGAAAGCAAGUCAGAUGUGAAAUCUCUGGGCUCAACCCAGAAACUGCAUUUGAAACUGUUUUUCUUGAGUGUCGGAGAGGUAAACGGAAUUCCUAGUGUAGCGGUGAAAUGCGUAGAUAUUAGGAGGAACACCAGUGGCGAAGGCGGUUUACUGGACGAUAACUGACGCUGAGGCGCGAAAGCGUGGGGAGCAAACAGGAUUAGAUACCCUG